RNAcentral lists this ribosomal RNA (500 nucleotides) under uncultured bacterium. RNAcentral describes it as "partial 16S ribosomal RNA". It matches the Rfam family "Bacterial small subunit ribosomal RNA", at positions 30 to 523 of the family's 1533-position model. The record is from RNAcentral.
AUUGAACGCUGGCGGCAUGCCUUACACAUGCAAGUCGAACGGUAACGGGUCCUUCGGGAUGCCGACGAGUGGCGAACGGGUGAGUAAUAUAUCGGAACGUGCCCAGUAGUGGGGGAUAACUGCUCGAAAGAGCAGCUAAUAACGCAUACGACCUGAGGGUGAAAGGGGGGGAUCGCAAGACCUCUCGCUAUUGGAGCGGACGAUAUCAGAUUAGCUAGUUGGUGGGGUAAAGGCCUACCAAGGCAACGAUCUGUAGUUGCUCGGAGAUGACGACCAGCCACACUGGGACUGAGACACGGCCCAGACUCCUACGGGAGGCAGCAGUGGGGAAUUUUGGACAAUGGGCGCAAGCCUGAUCCAGCAAUGCCGCGUGCAGGAAGAAGGCCUUCGGUUUGUAAACUGCUUUUGUCAGGGAAGAAAUCUGCUGGGCUAAUACCCCGGGAGGAUGACGGUACCUGAAGAAUAAGCACCGGCUAACUACGUGCCAGCCGCCGCAGUAA